GUAACGGCCCACCAUGCCGAUAAUCGGUACGGGUUGUGAGAGCAAGAGCCCGGAGACGGACUCUGAGACAAGAGUCCGGGCCCUACGGGGCGCAGCAGGCGCGAAACCUUUACACUGCACGCAAGUGCGAUAGGGGGACACCGAGUGCGAGGGCAUAGAGCCCUCGCUUUUCUGUACCGUAAGGCGGUACAGGAACAAGGGCUGGGCAAGACCGGUGCCAGCCGCCGCGGUAACACCGGCAGCCCAAGUGAUGGCCGAUCUUAUUGGGCCUAAAGCGUCCGUAGCUUGCCGAGUAAGUUCGUCGGGAAAUCUACUGGCUUAACCAGUAGGCGUCCGGCGAAAACUGCUCGGCUUGGGACCGGGAGACCAGAGGGGUACGUCCGGGGUAGGAGUGAAAUCCUGUAAUCCUGGACGGACCACCGGUGGCGAAAGCGCCUCUGGAGAACGGAUCCGACAGUGAGGGACGAAAGCUAGGGUCUCGAACCGGAUUAGAUACCCGGGUAGUCCUAGCUGUAAACGAUGCUCGCUAGGUGUGGCGCAGGCUACGAGCCCGCGCUGUGCCGUAGGGAAGCCGUGAAGCGAGCCGCCUGGGAAGUACGUCUGCAAGGAUGAAACUUAAAGGAAUUGGCGGGGGAGCACUACAACCGGAGGAGCCUGCGGUUUAAUUGGACUCAACGCCGGACAUCUCACCAGCUCCGACAGCAGUAAUGACGAUCAGGUUGAUGACCUUAUUCGACGCUGCUGAGAGGAGGUGCAUGGCCGCCGUCAGCUCGUACCGUGAGGCGUCCUGUUAAGUCAGGCAACGAGCGAGACCCACCCA
RNAcentral lists this ribosomal RNA (820 nucleotides) under uncultured archaeon. Its description in RNAcentral is "bacterial SSU rRNA". It matches the Rfam family "Archaeal small subunit ribosomal RNA", at positions 241 to 1058 of the family's 1478-position model. The record is from RNAcentral.